Molecule: ribosomal RNA, 446 nt
Filed under: uncultured bacterium
Lineage: Bacteria
Description: bacterial SSU rRNA
Rfam family: Bacterial small subunit ribosomal RNA
Source: RNAcentral
GAACGAUAGAUCGGGGCUUGCUCCAAUCGAAAGUGGCGCACGGGUGCGUAACGCGUAUGCAACCUACCUUAAUCAGGGGGAUAGCCCGAAGAAAUUCGGAUUAACACCGCAUAAAAACACAGGAUAGCAUUAUCCAAUGUUCAAAUAUUUAUAGGAUUAAGAUGGGCAUGCGUGUCAUUAGCUUGUUGGCGGGGUAACGGCCCACCAAGGCGACGAUGACUAGGGGAUCUGAGAGGAUGACCCCCCACACUGGUACUGAGACACGGACCAGACUCCUACGGGAGGCAGCAGUAAGGAAUAUUGGUCAAUGGAGGCAACUCUGAACCAGCCAUGCCGCGUGCAGGAAGACUGCCCUAUGGGUUGUAAACUGCUUUUAUCCGGGAAUAAACCUGCUUACGUGUAAGUAGCUGAAUGUACCGGAAGAAUAAGGAUCGGCUAACUCCGUG